RNAcentral lists this ribosomal RNA (432 nucleotides) under uncultured bacterium. RNAcentral's name for it is "bacterial SSU rRNA". It matches the Rfam family "Bacterial small subunit ribosomal RNA", at positions 29 to 504 of the family's 1533-position model. The record is from RNAcentral.
AACGAACGCUGGCGGCAGGCUUAACACAUGCAAGUCGAACGCGUGUAGCAAUACACGAGUGGCGCACGGGUGAGUAACGCGUGGAUAUCUGCCUUUUGGUUCGGAAUAACUCCGGGAAACUGGAGCUAAUACCGGAUGGUUCCUUCGGGAUAAAGAUUUAUCGCCAAAAGAUGGGUCCGCGUACGAUUAGCUAGUUGGUGAGGUAAUGGCUCACCAAGGCGACGAUCGUUAGCUGGUCUGAGAGGACGAUCAGCCACACUGGGACUGAGACACGGCCCAGACUCCUACGGGAGGCAGCAGUGGGGAAUAUUGGACAAUGGGGGCAACCCUGAUCCAGCCAUGCCGCGUGAGUGAUGAAGGCCUUCGGGUUGUAAAGCUCUUUUGGCGGGGACGAUGAUGACGGUACCCGCAGAAUAAGCCCCGGCUAACUUC